Molecule: small nucleolar RNA, 134 nt
Organism: Cynocephalus volans (Philippine flying lemur)
Lineage: Eukaryota; Metazoa; Chordata; Mammalia; Dermoptera; Cynocephalidae
Product: small nucleolar RNA SNORA48
Exons: 1
Source: RefSeq, a predicted model, not a curated record
UGUCCCUGACUAGGGUAGAGUGUCAUCUGAGUGGUGGUGCCCAUCUCAUAUCACGAGGGACAAAGCAACCCCUUGUUUACCCCAGCUUGGCUUUUGGUCUGUUCCCAUGCCUGGUUCAUACCUUGGACGUUUGG